Molecule: long non-coding RNA, 1297 nt
Organism: Aethalodelphis obliquidens (Pacific white-sided dolphin)
Lineage: Eukaryota; Metazoa; Chordata; Mammalia; Artiodactyla; Delphinidae
Exons: 2
Source: RefSeq, a predicted model, not a curated record
GCCACAGCGUCUCCUAGAGGAAGAGCGAGAAAGGGCAAGAGUCACGCUCCGGAGUUUUCUUCACCUGAGCGAGUCACGUAGGAAAGGGAGCCAUCUGCGGCUUCCGGGUAGUUUACAGGAAGGGGUGGUGGAGCAAAGGAAGGCAGCGGUGUGUGACCUCGGAGGAAGGUCCGGCAGCACGGCCUAUGGAGUGGGAGGAGGAGAAGGAUGGCCGGCAGCAUCGUGAGCCGUCCGCAGGUGCAAGAAAAGUCCCGGAGCUUCGGUGGUCUACCCAGUGGGGAGGCGGCGCCGCUCCGGGCGUCCUGGCCUCCCAGUGUCGCCUCCCUGAGGGGCCUCCAUGGCCCGGGCUCCUCGACCGGUGCUCUGGAGGCCAGGGCUGGGGGCGGGUGGGGGGCGGAGGCGGCCCGAGCGCAGGGGCGGUGCCUCUCGCCAACUUCGGAGUUGUUUUCCCCGGCUGCCGCCUCGCUCUCUCCCGAGGCCGGCCCCCGAACCCCCGGAAAUCGGCUGAAAGACCGGCGCUGGGGCGCGCCCUCGCCUAGAGCCGGUCCGCAGGCCGCAAGCGCCCCGGUCCAGGCCUGGCCGCCACCUGCUGGGGCUUGAGGCCACUUCCUCUUUGGGCCAAACUUUACCGACUGUCAGCCCCCAGGGCCGGCCCGGGCGCUGCUCAACUUCUCCAGCGCGUCCAGCCCGCGGAACGCGGCAGGGGAGCGGGGAAGGAGGACAGGCGGCUCGGCACAACGCCCAAUCCCUCGCUCAGUCUGUACCCCCGCCAGCCCAGGGGUUGGAGGAGCCCGGGCGGAGGAGGGGGCGGGUGACGAGCCUGGCCCCACCCCUGCCAAUCAACGCACUCUCCGCCCACCCGACCGUCUUAACGCCUUUCCGGUCGUGCAGGGUCUUGUCACUUGGGCUUUGAAGGCGCUCAGCUUCCACUUUUAACUCUGCUUUGUUUAGUCCUUUCCGUGUAACGUUAGUUACAGGACACGUCUGUCAAAGGGCAACUGCUUAUUCCGUAACUGUCAUGUCUUUCCUUUGAAUCCUUAAGCUCUCAGUACUUUUCUUGUCCCAGUGUCUGGGAUGCGGUAGCACUUUUCUCGAUGAGCCUCUAUUAUAGCAAUUACCACACGGUGUUGUAACUAUUUGUUUACUCUUUCCCGCCCCUGCCCCUCCCCUGCUGUGGAAACUGAAACUUCCUGUAGGCUGGGGCCUAGACUGUUUACCUUUGUACCCACAAGGCUUCUCUCCUGCUGAGACACUGUAAUUCAAUAAAGGAAUAAAUGUGCCUUCCCUUCUUGCUGGC